UGCCAGCCGCCGCGGUAAUACGGAGGGUGCGAGCGUUAAUCGGAAUUACUGGGCGUAAAGCGCGCGUAGGCGGCUUUUUAAGUCAGAUGUGAAAGUCCACGGCUCAACCGUGGAAGUGCAUUUGAAACUGGGAGGCUUGAGUAUGGUAGAGGGAAGUGGAAUUCCGGGUGUAGCGGUGAAAUGCGUAGAUAUCCGGAGGAACACCAGUGGCGAAGGCGACUUCCUGGGCCAAUACUGACGCUGAGGUGCGAAAGCGUGGGGAGCAAACAGGAUUAGAUA
RNAcentral lists this ribosomal RNA (279 nucleotides) under uncultured bacterium. Its description in RNAcentral is "partial 16S ribosomal RNA". It matches the Rfam family "Bacterial small subunit ribosomal RNA", at positions 506 to 784 of the family's 1533-position model. The record is from RNAcentral.